Molecule: small nucleolar RNA, 130 nt
Organism: Anolis carolinensis (green anole)
Lineage: Eukaryota; Metazoa; Chordata; Lepidosauria; Squamata; Anolidae
Gene: SNORA63
Rfam family: Small nucleolar RNA SNORA63
About the family: E3 belongs to the H/ACA class of snoRNAs and is involved in the processing of eukaryotic pre-rRNA and has regions of complementarity to 18S rRNA.
Source: Ensembl
AUGCAGGUAAAGUUACAAUGUAGCCGUGAAGUGCUGUAUUGUCGUUCCCCCUGCACAAAGCAAAAAUGUUUCUUUACUAUCCUUGUCUGUUUCGACUCUACGGCAGACAGGGACGCUUGGUUUCAUACAU